RNAcentral lists this ribosomal RNA (618 nucleotides) under uncultured bacterium. RNAcentral describes it as "bacterial SSU rRNA". It matches the Rfam family "Bacterial small subunit ribosomal RNA", at positions 247 to 882 of the family's 1533-position model. The record is from RNAcentral.
GGUUGGUGAGGUAAUGGCCCACCAAGGCGACGAUCGGUAGCCGGACUGAGAGGUUGAACGGCCACAUUGGGACUGAGACACGGCCCAGACUCCUACGGGAGGCAGCAGUGGGGAAUAUUGCACAAUGGGGGAAACCCUGAUGCAGCGACGCCGCGUGGAGGAAGAAGGUCUUCGGAUUGUAAACUCCUGUUGUUGAGGAAGAUAAUGACGGUACUCAACAAGGAAGUGACGGCUAACUACGUGCCAGCAGCCGCGGUAAAACGUAGGUCACAAGCGUUGUCCGGAAUUACUGGGUGUAAAGGGAGCGCAGGCGGGAGAACAAGUUGGAAGUGAAAUCCAUGGGCUCAACCCAUGAACUGCUUUCAAAACUGUUUUUCUUGAGUAGUGCAGAGGUAGGCGGAAUUCCCGGUGUAGCAGUGGAAUGCGUAGAUAUCGGGAGGAACACCAGUGGCGAAGGCGGCCUACUGGGCACCAACUGACGCUGAGGCUCGAAAGUGUGGGUAGCAAACAGGAUUAGAUACCCUGGUAGUCCACACCGUAAACGAUGAUUACUAGGUGUUGGAGGAUUGACCCCUUCAGUGCCGCAGUUAACACAAUAAGUAAUCCACCUGGGGAGUA